AGCAAUGCUACAGUUGUGGCCCAGAGGAAGUAAAACAAUGUGCUUUUCAACUAACCAAUAACACCUACACAAUCUUAUAACAGCAAGUUUCAGGGAAAAAGAUUGAAUCUGGGGCUAGCCUUUGGGGGGCAUGCAAAAGAUGUUUGGCUGCAUGGACACGUUAUCCACCAAGGCUGGAUGUCGCCAAGGAUGCAGCUUCAAAGGAUGUCUAUUCCUCUGAAAGUAGAGCAAAAUUCAAUGGUACCAGCUCUAACAUCCUUGCAGAGGCACAGCCCAUGCCACUGCCUGCCAUCGCUCCAGCAUCACAGUCUUUGCUAGACAGGAUGGUCUUAGAGGACAAAAGAGAAGUAUCUCCACUGAUGAAAGGGAAUAGGUUUGCUGUUAUUGGAUGAAGAUUAUUUCUCUGCUGGUUCAGAACGGCACAGAGAGAUAUAGGGAUUCUUCUGGAAAUUACAGCAGCCCAGCUGGAAAUGUAAGAUAAUAUCCAAAAUAAUUAAGAGCUCCUCACACUAUAUUUCCUGCUUGCAUUCUGUCUCCAAGACAUCUUCCAUGGGAGCAAUUCAGCUCUAUGUAUACACUGGGACCAAUUCUGCCCUACUGAAAAUACGUGGAAUUUCAUGGCUGACUUCUCCAGGAUCAGGAUCAGUCCACAGAGUGCCCAAUUGCAAAUUUGGUUCCAUCCAUGAAGGCCCUGGUGCACCAGCCCCAGAAGUUUCUUCUCCCUCUCUCCUUAUGCAUAUGUAUAUGGCAGUGUGUCUGAGGUGAGAAAAUUCAAGAUCUGAUGGCACCAAAGAUUUCUGCAAAGCCUGGUGAAGACCACAGCAGUUGACCAGUGGAUUUUCUACCCAAGGAUUGCUGAUCCAAAGGGGCUCCUUGGCAGCAUGGUGGGAGAGAUACGUGGCUGAUUGUCCUGCACAUUACAAACAACAGGGUAGCCUUCCCAUAGCAGUGAUUCCCACCUGGGAGGAGCUGACAGACUGGGAGAGGACUUGUCCACAUUUACACUGUGUCCCCAGUGCACUGUCCCAUAGUCACCUAACAGUCAGGUAAACUCUUGGGGUUUGACAUCUCAGCACCACUGGGAGGUGCAUGGGCAGUCAAAGGCCAGUGUUUGGGUGAGAAUGGGGACCCAGCCUGUGGGUCAGUGUGGAUAUACACAAUGUCGAGUCAGUGCUAAGGACUAGGAUGGCUAGAAACCAGUGCAUUUCCUACAGGAAAUGUGGUGUGCAUUCAUUAUGAAGUAAUGUCACGUUGAGGAGCCAUACAACAAAAGCAACAGCAGCAUACAAUUUAGGAAAUUUCACAAUUGGAUUAAUUAUCAAGACAUAUUGUGGAUGAUAGCAAAUAUAUGGCUGGUUAGCUUUGGCAUAAUACAAAAUAAAUGUAGACAUUAAUAAAUAGCUAUGCAUUUCUGCCAUAACUUUGAUGUUAAUUGUACAUUAUGUGUUCUAUAAUAGAUGAGCUGUUUUUCUAUUAAAUGAACAUAUUGCACAAAGUAUUUAUUAUGUUUUCUCUCUGUCUACAAAAAGAAUAAAAUGCAAUAGCUCACC
Molecule: long non-coding RNA, 1550 nt
Organism: Gallus gallus (chicken)
Lineage: Eukaryota; Metazoa; Chordata; Aves; Galliformes; Phasianidae
Source: Ensembl